This 468-nucleotide ribosomal RNA is filed under the name uncultured bacterium. Its description in RNAcentral is "partial 16S ribosomal RNA". It matches the Rfam family "Bacterial small subunit ribosomal RNA", at positions 28 to 507 of the family's 1533-position model. The record is from RNAcentral.
GACGAACGCUGGCGGCGUGCUUAACACAUGCAAGUCGAACGGAAAGGCCCUGCUUUUGUUGGUUGCUCGAGUGGCGAACGGGUGAGUAACACGUGAGUAACCUGCCCUUGACUUUGGGAUAACUUCAGGAAACUGGGGCUAAUAACGGAUAGGAGCUCCUGCUGCAUGGUGGGGGUUGGAAAGUUUCGGCGGUUGUGGCUGGACUCGCGGCUUAUCAGCUUGUUGGUGUGGUAGUGGCUUACCCAGGCUUUGAAGGGUAGCCGGCCUGAGAGGGUUACCGGGCACAUUGGGACUGAGAUACGGCCCAGAAUCCUACGGGAGGCAGCAGUGGGGAAUAUUGCAGAAUGGGCGGAAGCCUGAUGCAGAAAUGCCGCGUGCGGGAUGACGGCCUUCGGGUUGUAAACCACUUUCGCCUGUGACGAAGAGUGAGUGACGGUAAUGGGUAAAGAAGCACCGGCUAACUACGUG